Molecule: ribosomal RNA, 2432 nt
Filed under: Fuegophoxus abjectus
Lineage: Eukaryota; Metazoa; Arthropoda; Malacostraca; Amphipoda; Phoxocephalidae
Description: 18S ribosomal RNA
Rfam family: Eukaryotic small subunit ribosomal RNA
Source: RNAcentral
CCUAUCUGGUUGAUCCUGCCAGUAGUCAUAUGCUUGUCUCAAAGAUUAAGCCAUGCAUGUCUAAGUCCAAGCUGUGUCUGACACGGCGAUACCGCGGACGGCUCAUUAAAUCAGUCGUGGUCCAAAUGGGCCAGUGUUAAACUUACUUGGAUAACUGUGGUAAUUCCAGAGCUAAUACAUGCAACUCAUAUCCCGAUGGCGCGCUCGGCUCUCUUGCAGGGCUUGUGUGUUGUUCUGACGGAUGCUUUUAUUAGACCAAACCGCUGGGGGCGUGUGUCGUGUGUGCGAGUCGCUUCGGUGGCCGUGCCGCGCACGCGCUUGACUCGUGUUGUGGUGACUCUGGAUAACCUUUUUGACAAGCGCACGUACCCCUCUUUUGGGUGGGACGGCGCUGCCACUUUCGAGUGUCUGCCUUAUCAGCUAUCAACCGCUCGUUACGCGCGACCGAUGGCUUUGACGGGUAACGGGGAAUCAGGGUUCGAUUCCGGAGAGGCAGCCUGAGAGACGGCUACCACGUCCAAGGACGGCAGCAGGCACGCAAAUUACCCAAUCCCAGCAACUGGGGGAGGUAGUGACGAAAUCUAACGAUGCGGGCGCCCUUUCUGGGGCCCCGCAAUCGGAAUGAGCGCUUUCUAAACAACCUGUUGAGAACCUACUGAAGGGCAAGUCUGGUGCCAGCAGCCGCGGUAAUUCCAGCUUCAGUAGCAUCUAUUAAAGCUGCUGCGGUUAAAAGGCUCGCAGUUGAAUGUCUGUAUCGAGCGCAGGUCAGGUGGACGCUGGGGUGUGGGAAUGCAUAUGGAGUGGCACGGGCGCGUGCUUGCUUUCUCGCAGCGUGUAGCUUCUGCUCUCGCUCGGGGACUUGCUUCGCGUACCGACUGCUUCUCUCACGUAACCCCCGUCCGUGACAAGCCUCCUCGCUUGCGUACAUAUCGGGAUCGGUCAAACGGAGUGCGUGCAGCUCGCCGUACUACUCGUGCCGUCUUGCUCUGGCAGCGUUGGUUAACCCCUUCGUGGUCCAGCUCGGCUUGGCGGUUGCGGGUGCGGAGGCGCUCACGCGUUAAGCUCUUCGGUUCCAUUGUCACCUUGAGUAAAUCAGAGUGCUCAAAGCAGUCGUAGGGGCCUUGUGUCCUGUGAACAGUCUAGACGGAUUGACUUGGUUUUGCAUGGCAUGUCGGAAGACGACGUCGUGUGCUGGCUCAGAGAUGCGUUGGGCGUGCCUCGCGCGCGCGCACGCAGGAAUCAGUGGUGCAAGCCAGCCUUGACGUAAUGAUUAAAAGGGACGGUCGAGGGCAUUGGUAUUGCGGGGCGAGAGGUGAAAUUCUAUGACCCCCGCAAGACCUCCUGAAGCGAAAGCGUCUGCCAAGGGCGUUUUCAUUAAUCAUGAACGAAAGUUAGAGGAUCGAAGGCGAUCAGAUACCGCCCUAGUUCUAACCCUAAACGAUGCCAACCAUCAAUCCGCGCGUAGCACCCUUCUUAACGGGCUCGGCGGGCAGCUCCCCACUCACGGGAAACCAGAGUCUCUGGGUUCCGGGGGGAGUCUGGUUGCAAAGCUGAAACUUAAAGGAAUUGACGGAAAGGCACCACCAGGCGUGGAGUGCGGCUUAAUUUGACUCAACACGGGCCAUCUCACCAGGCCAGCACUCUUGAAUGAUUGACAGAUUGAGAGCUCUUUCUCGAUUCAGUGGAUGGUGGUGCAUGGCCGUUCUUAGUUGAUGGAGUGAUCUGUCUGGUUAAUUCCGAUAACGAACGAGACUCUCCCCUGCUAACUAGUCGGUUGGAUCUUGCUCGGUGAGUCGUGUGCCGGGAAAACCCGUGCAUCUCGGAGGCGUGGUGCGCGCUGGUGCGUCUGUCGUGUGUGUGUGUGUUUGGGGAGUUUCGGCUCACCUGCGCGCGCGCGCGUGCAUUCCAUCGGCCGUGUCGCCCUUUGGGUCACGGGCCUCGGGCCACACACUCCAAGUCCGCCGCUUAUGCUAUAACUCUUCUUAGAGGGAUUCACGGUACUGAAACCGUCAGAGACUGAGAGCAAUAACAGGUCUGUAAUGCCCUUAGAUGCUCUGGGCCGCACGCGCGCUACAAUGCCGGGCACAGCAGGCAUUUCUCCUGUUCCGACAGGAGCAGGUAACCCUCUGAAAGCCCUCUUGUUUUAUCGUGUCUGACACGAGCGGCGUGCUUGGGCCUGGGGCUUGCAAUUCUUUCCCACAAACGAGGAAUGCCUAGUAGCGGCGGGUCACUGAGCCCGCUGUGACUCAGUCCCUGCCCUUUGUACACACCGCCCGUCGCUACUACCGAUUGGGUGUACCAGUGAGAGCUUUGGACUGGCGUCCGUUGCCUUCGGGCAAACGGGUCCGACGGAAAGAGGUCCGAACUGGUGCACUUAGAGGAAGUAAAAGUCGUAACAAGGUUUCCGUAGUGAACCUGCGGAAGGAUCAUUA